GAUGAACGCUGGCGGCGUGCCUAAUACAUGCAAGUCGAGCGAACAGACGAGGAGCUUGCUCCUCUGACGUUAGCGGCGGACGGGUGAGUAACACGUGGAUAACCUACCUAUAAGACUGGGAUAACUUCGGGAAACCGGAGCUAAUACCGGAUAAUAUAUUGAACCGCAUGGUUCAAUAGUGAAAGACGGUUUUGCUGUCACUUAUAGAUGGAUCCGCGCCGCAUUAGCUAGUUGGUAAGGUAACGGCUUACCAAGGCGACGAUGCGUAGCCGACCUGAGAGGGUGAUCGGCCACAAGAGAAGUGAGACACGGUCCAGACUCGUGCGAGGGGCAGGAGUAGGGAAUCUGCCGCAAUGGGCGAAAGCCUGACGGAGCAACGACGCGUGAGUGAUGAAGGUCUUCGGAUCGUAAAACUCUGUUAUUAGGGAAAAACAAAUGUGUAAGUAACUAUGCACGUUGAGGGGAUACCUAAACAGAAAGCCGGGGCUAAACACG
Molecule: ribosomal RNA, 495 nt
Filed under: uncultured bacterium
Lineage: Bacteria
Description: partial 16S ribosomal RNA
Rfam family: Bacterial small subunit ribosomal RNA
Source: RNAcentral